GCCAGGCAUGGUGGUACAUGUCUGUAAUCCCAGUGGCUUGGGAGGCUGAGGCAGGAGGAUCGCAAGUUCAGUGCCAGCCUCAGCAAAAUUGAGGUGCUAAACAACUCAGUGAGACCCUGUCUCUA
This 125-nucleotide small RNA is filed under the name Marmota monax (woodchuck). Lineage: Eukaryota; Metazoa; Chordata; Mammalia; Rodentia; Sciuridae. The record is from RNAcentral.